RNAcentral lists this ribosomal RNA (253 nucleotides) under uncultured bacterium. RNAcentral's name for it is "partial 16S ribosomal RNA". It matches the Rfam family "Bacterial small subunit ribosomal RNA", at positions 524 to 776 of the family's 1533-position model. The record is from RNAcentral.
UACGAAGGGUGCAAGCGUUACUCGGAAUUACUGGGCGUAAAGCGUGCGUAGGUGGUUUGUUAAGUCUGAUGUGAAAGCCCUGGGCUCAACCUGGGAAUUGCAUUGGAUACUGGCAGGCUAGAGUGCGGUAGAGGAUGGCGGAAUUCCCGGUGUAGCGGUGAAAUGCGCAGAUAUCAGGAAGAACACCUAUGGCGAAGGCAGCUCUCUGGGACGGUACUGACGCUGAGACGCGAAAGCGUGGGGAGCGAACAGG